Molecule: long non-coding RNA, 627 nt
Filed under: Solanum tuberosum (potato)
Lineage: Eukaryota; Viridiplantae; Streptophyta; Magnoliopsida; Solanales; Solanaceae
Description: long non-coding RNA (STUB_LNC002436)
Source: RNAcentral
UUCAAUCAUCAUUAUUAUUAUAUAGUCCCCGCCUCUUGGAGGGUUUUCAAAAGCCAUAUUUAGGUCAAGCUUUUUAUAUGUUGUACAAAUUAUGAACAUAUGUUGAAAACUAUAAAUAGAACAGGUACUAGUGUUGAACCACAGAGAAAAUAAAAACGCGAAAAAUAGAAAGAGGAGAAGAAUACGUUGAUUUCGAGAAUAAUAAUGAUGAUUCAAAGGUUGAAGAUAUGCAUCGGAAUGGUGAAAUUGGCAUUUGAGUUUGUUGCGGUGUUUGUGAAAGCAGUUGGAAGUGUCAUCUCGGAUGAAGAGGAGAGGAACUACGUUGCUCAAACGCCAUACAUCGGCCUUCUUCCAUAAUUUUUGUCAUUUCAUUUAUUUACUGGUCCAACUUAUUCAGAUUUCAUAGAUAUAUGAUAACCGUAGUUUAGCUUUUUUUCUCCAUCGUGAGGCUUCAUGUAAAAAAGAGCUUUCUUUGGGAGAGAGAGAGAGAGAGGUGUUAGAGGUUAUUAGUUCCUUUUCCUUUUCUCUGUUGUAAUUUUUGUCUAGUCUGGUCUAACAGUAGUCCUUUUGACUUGUUCCCGGCCUUCAGGAUAUAACAGUCUAAUCAUAAAGUGUAACUCAAUAAAU